UCAACGCUAGUCUCUUGCUCUCACUCUCGUCGACGGCCCAUCGGUCUCCUCUCAUCGACUAACCAUCGGCCACCGUCGCUUAUCAUCUCAUCGCCACAAUUGGUACAUCGUCUCAGGCCCAUUAAUUUUGAAUCAGGAUGUUGAGAAACUCAUGGUUUUACCCCUAGAAAAGGUUUUACUCAUAUGGAUGAAUUUCCAAUUGAAGAAAGCAGGAUACAAGUAAUAGGUUUCAAAUUUGUCAUCUGAUCUGAAGGCUUUGUGCACUGGUAAAGCCUAUGCUCACUUGCUUAAUGCUCUUGCACCAGAACAUGGUAAUGCUAGCACAUUGGAUACUAAGGAUCCUACUGAAAGAGCGAAUUUGAUUCUUGAGCAUGCAGAGAGAAUG
Molecule: non-coding RNA, 385 nt
Organism: Camellia sinensis
Lineage: Eukaryota; Viridiplantae; Streptophyta; Magnoliopsida; Ericales; Theaceae
Source: RefSeq, a predicted model, not a curated record